Mustela lutreola (European mink) is the source of this 1073-nucleotide long non-coding RNA. RefSeq lists it as uncharacterized. NCBI's taxonomy places the organism in Eukaryota, Metazoa, Chordata, Mammalia, Carnivora, Mustelidae. The record is from RefSeq and is a predicted model, not a curated record. The transcript has 4 exons.
UGGGCAGCUCGCUGGCAGGUUCCUCCGCAGGCACCUUCAGCUGGGGGAUGGGGAUGGUAGAGGGGGUGAAAGGGCAGAUUGAUGGGGUGUCUGCCCUCCACUGCACCCAGCCCCAUCCCACUGGGCUCCUACCCAGGUCCACCUACCUCCUGGUACAUCAGUUUAGGCUUCAUCUUGCCAGGCAGCCAGAGGACACGCCGAGACCAGGCAGGAAAGUGGGUGUGUCAGGGUCUCCAAACUGUGGGGAACAAAAGCUGGCACUGUGGGGGUGCUCUGGGCCUUAGGGGAACAUCACAGAAACCAGAUUAGUCUUGGGCUCAUGGGAUCCACUGGGUCUCCUUGUCUGCGAUCACGGGGGCCACUGGCAUGGGGCCCGCCACCCCAAAAGGAGGAAGCUGACCGCUGGUCAGCAGGGAUUUCGAAAUCCCUCAAGGUCUAACAUCUAGCUUUCUUCCCAUCAGUCUAUGCUGCCCACCCUGCCCCCCUGAGCGCCCACGCGGCUCCUCAUUAACGCUCAAGCUGCUCAUUAGCAUCUUCGCUUCUCCGAGCGCUCAUCUAGACAUUCCCCAAAAGACAACUGUGGAUGGGGUCAGCGGAGCCCCAAAUCUUUGCCUGGCUUUUCACCACCCAGAAACCACCCAGGGAGCAUUUUCCAGGUGGCUGCCCUGCCAUCACCCACAGAGUCCGAUCCCAGACUGGCAAGGGGAGAGCAGAGCUGGAGCCCCACCUCUUAUUAUAAAGGAACAAAUGCGGAUGGACCAAGUGGAUCCAGCAAGUGGCAAAAGAUCAAGGUUAUUUGGAAUUGAGAGGUGUUGUUUUAGGCGCUAGAAGUACCGUUGUGAACAAAACAGACACCAGGCAAGAUAGACAAAAAACGAGAUGGUGAGCCUGAAAUCCAAUGACAAGUUUCUCUUAGAGACAGAAGAGAAGAAAGAGAGAAGACCACAUGACCAGGGAGGAAGAGCCACCAGAAUCUGAGAGAGGCAGGAAUCCCCCCACAGAGUCUCAGGAGGGGAUGUGACUCCACCAACACCUUGAUUUUGGACAUCCCGCCUCCACUACCAUGAGAAUAA